AGAGUUUGAUCAUGGCUCAGGACGAACGCUGGCGGCGUGCUUAACACAUGCAAGUCGAACGAGAUCCUUCGGGGUCUAGUGGCGAACGGGUGAGUAACACGUGAGCAACCUGCCCCUGGCUCUGGGAUAGCCUCCGGAAACGGGGAUUAAUACCGGACAUGACCUUCCGCCGCAUGGCGGGGGGUGGAAAGUUUUUUCGGCCGGGGAGGGGCUCGCAGCCUAUCAGCUUGUUGGGGGGGUAACGGCCCACCAAGGCGACGACGGGUAGCCGGCCUGAGAGGGCGACCGGCCACACUGGGACUGAGACACGGCCCAGACUCCUACGGGAGGCAGCAGUGGGGAAUAUUGCACAAUGGGCGCAAGCCUGAUGCAGCGACGCCGCGUGCGGGAUGAAGGCCUUCGGGUUGUAAACCGCUUUCAGCAGGGGCGAAUGUGACGGUACCUGCAGAAGAAGCGCCGGCUAACUACGUGCCAGCAGCCGCGGUAAUACGUAGGGCGCGAGCGUUGUCCGGAAUUAUUGGGCGUAAAGAGCUCGUAGGCGGCCUGUUGCGUCCGCUGUGAAAUCCCAGGGCUCAACCCUGGGCGUGCAGUGGAUACGGGCGGGCUGGAGGCAGGCAGGGGAGAACGGAAUUCCCGGUGUAGCGGUGAAAUGCGCAGAUAUCGGGAGGAACACCGGUGGCGAAGGCGGUUCUCUGGGCCUGUUCUGACGCUGAGGAGCGAAAGCGUGGGGAGCGAACAGGAUUAGAUACCCCCGUAGUCC
This 760-nucleotide ribosomal RNA is filed under the name uncultured bacterium. Its description in RNAcentral is "bacterial SSU rRNA". It matches the Rfam family "Bacterial small subunit ribosomal RNA", at positions 8 to 796 of the family's 1533-position model. The record is from RNAcentral.